This 441-nucleotide ribosomal RNA is filed under the name uncultured bacterium. RNAcentral's name for it is "bacterial SSU rRNA". It matches the Rfam family "Bacterial small subunit ribosomal RNA", at positions 355 to 786 of the family's 1533-position model. The record is from RNAcentral.
UGAGGAAUAUUGGUCAAUGGGCGGGAGCCUGAACCAGCCAAGUCGCGUGAGGGAAGACGGCCCUACGGGUUGUAAACCUCUUUUGCCGGGGAGCAAAGAAGCCACGAGUGACUUUUUGAGAGUACCCGGAGAAAAAGCAUCGGCUAACUCCGUGCCAGCAGCCGCGGUAAUACGGAGGAUGCGAGCGUUAUCCGGAUUUAUUGGGUUUAAAGGGUGCGUAGGCGGCGCGACAAGUCAGCGGUAAAAAAUUCGGGGCUCAAACCCCGCUCCGGCCCGGUUGCAAAUCUGUCAGUGCUCGAGUGGAGCGAGAAGUAUGCGGAAUGCGAGGUGUAGCGGUGAAAUGCAUAGAUAUCACGCAGAACUCCGAUUGCGAAGGCAGCAUACCGGCGCUCAACUGACGCUGAGGCACGAAAGCGUGGGGAUCAAACAGGAUUAGAUACC